AGCAGCCGCGGUAAUUCCAGCUCCAAUAGCGUAUAUUAAAGUUGUUGCAGUUAAAAAGCUCGUAGUUGAAUUUCGGGAUCAGUACGUCGGUCGUGCCUCCGGUAUGUACUGGCGUUACUGAUUUCUCCCUUCUGGUGAACCAUGAUGUCAUUAAUUUGGUGUUGUGGGGAGCCAGGACUGUUACUUUGAAAAAUUAGAGUGUUUAAAGCAGGCAAACGCUUGAAUACAUUAGCAUGGAAUAAUGAAAUAGGACGUUCGAACCUAUUUUGUUGGUUUCUAGGAUCAACGUAAUGAUUAAUAGGGAUAGUUGGGGGCAUUAGUAUUCAAUUGUCAGAGGUGAAAUUCUUGGAUUUAUUGAAGACUAACUACUGCGAAAGCAUUUGCCAAGGAUGUUUUCAUUAAUCAAGAACGAAAGUUAGGGGAUCGAAGACGAUCAGAUACCGUCGUAGU
This 450-nucleotide ribosomal RNA is filed under the name uncultured Glomus. Its description in RNAcentral is "SSU rRNA". It matches the Rfam family "Eukaryotic small subunit ribosomal RNA", at positions 569 to 1024 of the family's 1831-position model. The record is from RNAcentral. Lineage: Eukaryota; Fungi; Glomeromycota; Glomeromycetes; Glomerales; Glomeraceae.